ACAAGCCUGCGUUGCACGUGAUAGACAUGUCGUAUUUUUGAGCCAAUACUAUACGACAGGGAUCCUUAUAUCCGGACUAAAAGAUCAUGCUUCUUCGCGGAGUAGAUCGGAUUUUCCGUGCGGGAACCCACCUGGUUAACCAGGUUCAAAAAUCCUUUUCUACACGGCAUCGCGGGCCUUUU
Molecule: non-coding RNA, 182 nt
Filed under: Spirochaetae bacterium HGW-Spirochaetae-1
Lineage: Bacteria; Pseudomonadati; Spirochaetota
Description: 6S RNA
Rfam family: 6S / SsrS RNA
About the family: E. coli 6S RNA was the first non coding RNA to be sequenced, but its function was unknown until recently. It consists of 184 nucleotides that fold into an extended hairpin structure with a large single-stranded internal bulge.
Source: RNAcentral